UCCUACCUCCUAUCGGACGACAAUACCCCCUGAAUUUUUUCAUAUAAUUAAUCGGAGGAAAAAAAAAUAACAAGGAUUUUUCUACUAACAGCGAGUGAAGAGGCGAGAACCCACCACCGCAUCCCUCAUUGUUACCCUGCUGGCAACUGUUGUGUUGUGGACGCCCCCACCUGCUACAAAAGACGCCGCAAUCCUCCUGAUGAGGGCUUCACCCCCAGCGGGUGUAGUGACGUUGUUGGUGGCUCUUUGUGCGGCCGCCAGCGUCUCGGGGGGAAUCCCCCUUAUGCUGAAUACUUGCUCCACUCCUACAACGGACAAAUACUCCAGGGAAAAAAAAUUAU
RNAcentral lists this ribosomal RNA (341 nucleotides) under Arion sp. 'hortensis agg. A'. RNAcentral describes it as "partial 28S ribosomal RNA". It matches the Rfam family "Eukaryotic large subunit ribosomal RNA", at positions 1 to 374 of the family's 3401-position model. Lineage: Eukaryota; Metazoa; Mollusca; Gastropoda; Stylommatophora; Arionidae. The record is from RNAcentral.